Molecule: small nucleolar RNA, 103 nt
Organism: Lemur catta (Ring-tailed lemur)
Lineage: Eukaryota; Metazoa; Chordata; Mammalia; Primates; Lemuridae
Product: small nucleolar RNA U13
Exons: 1
Source: RefSeq, a predicted model, not a curated record
AUUCUUUUGUAGUUCUAAGCAUGACAAUUGGGUUUUCACCCUUUUGUGGGAGAUGUACCUCCCUCAGACCUUGUUACAAUGUUAGCACAUUACCUGUCUGACG